This 68-nucleotide transfer RNA is filed under the name Achatinella mustelina. RNAcentral describes it as "tRNA-Leu". Lineage: Eukaryota; Metazoa; Mollusca; Gastropoda; Stylommatophora; Achatinellidae. The record is from RNAcentral.
AAAUAAGUGGCAGAAAAACAAACAUGCAUUGGUUUUAAACACCUAAAAUAAGGUUUCCUUCUUAUUUU